Non-coding RNA from Trichosporon asahii var. asahii CBS 2479, 98 nucleotides. The record is from the annotation of a RefSeq genome assembly. Lineage: Eukaryota; Fungi; Basidiomycota; Tremellomycetes; Trichosporonales; Trichosporonaceae.
GCCUUCUUAGUUCAGUGGCUAGAAUUUUCCACUAGUAGUCUUCUCCUCUGUGGAGUGUUGCUAUGGAACGGUCACCCGUUCGAUUCGGGUAGAAGGCA